Molecule: small nuclear RNA, 107 nt
Filed under: Balaenoptera musculus (blue whale)
Lineage: Eukaryota; Metazoa; Chordata; Mammalia; Artiodactyla; Balaenopteridae
Source: RNAcentral
GUGCUCGCUUUGGCAGCACAUAUACUAAAAUUGGAACAAUACAGAGAAGAUUAGCAUGGCCGCUGCGCAAGGAUGACAUGCAAAUUCAUGAAGCGUUCCAUUUUUUU